Molecule: ribosomal RNA, 142 nt
Filed under: uncultured bacterium
Lineage: Bacteria
Description: partial 16S rRNA
Rfam family: Bacterial small subunit ribosomal RNA
Source: RNAcentral
UGGGGAAGUUUUCCGCAAUGGGCGAAAGCCUGACGGAGCAAUGCCGCGUGGAGGUGGAAGGCCUACGGGUCGUCAACUUCUUUUCUCGGAGAAGAAACAAUGACGGUAUCUGAGGAAUAAGCAUCGGCUAACUCUGUGCCAG